RNAcentral lists this long non-coding RNA (1326 nucleotides) under Malus domestica (apple). RNAcentral's name for it is "long non-coding RNA (MDOM_LNC019942)". The record is from RNAcentral. Lineage: Eukaryota; Viridiplantae; Streptophyta; Magnoliopsida; Rosales; Rosaceae.
UGAGAUCAUGCAACGACUUUAGAAAACAAGAAUGCACAGAUUAAUAACUCUCCAAAUAACAUUUGGGCUCAAGUCUCACCAGGAUGUAGCAUUAGUUUGAGUUCCUUCCUUCAAGCAUGUUACAAAAACUAAUUUUUUCCUUUUGUGAUUACAUGUGAAUUCGUAAACUAUAACUACAACCAAGCAUAAACCAAAGAGCAUAUCAAACUUCCAUCCAUGUUUAUAACUUUCUUUAACAGUCAUGCACUUAAAAAACAAAAUCCUCAUCAUUGUGUUGGAAGGUACCCUAAGACACAAACACACAAAAACGACUCAAAACACUCUUUUUAGGCUUUUCAAAACACUUUUUUUUCAAAUUUUUAUGUGAUUUUCGGAGUUAUAUGUCAAAACACACUAAAACACACCAAAACUGCUUAAAAACACUUAAAAACAACAAGGAACAAGUCUAUAAGUAAUGGGUGAUAAAAUCCCACGAAUUUGCAUAAAAAACAGUUAGUUACCCCCCAUACUUCCUCAAUGUUUCAAGCAUAAAAUCACACCAAACAAAAUUAAACAUACAAACAGCAACUUAAUCAACUAAACUGGGCAGAUUAGAAAGAAUCAACAAAGAGAAGGGUUUUAGGAACGCAAAUCUGGAAUUUGAGUGAUUUCUAGGGCUUCCUUUGUUGAAUGCAUGGGUUGCCUCCAAGAAGCGCUUGCUUUAACGUCUUGCAGCCAGACGAUACUUCUCUUUAAGCUCCCCUAGGUCCCAUAGCAUGGAAUUGAUCCUUGAACGGAAGGUGAUACUUGAAGUGAUCCGGCAAUGGUUUAAAUUCGAGAGUGGGUGCCUAAAUUAUUAACAACAUGUAAGUAUAAAACGUAAUGGAAAUUGGAGAAGGUGACUUGCUUUGUCAGACAAGAACUCGAUGACAAACACCACUUCUUUGAAAGUUUCAGGGACUUUGAAUUUGGCCAGAUUUACUACGAUGGUUGUGAUUUGUCCCGUGUCAUCAAACUCAACUACUUUGGACUUUGUUGUUUCAAAUACGUCAUCUUUGAUGUAUUCUCGAUAUUCUCUAGCCACUACUUUCUCUUGAAUCAUUCUUCUUGGUGAACAAGGUUCUUUGAAUACUUCAACACAAUCUGGAACUUGAUUUGGUGUGCCAAGAAUUGGGAUAUCACUUUGCACCUUGGAAAGAGCUUCCACAAUGUCUUUUUCACUCUCUUCUUGCUUGGGAAUAAAAAACCUGCGAGGAAAAUGGACAUUGGGUGGAAUAGGGUUAGAAUUAACGGAAAUUGGACUCAACUUACAUGUAUUGGACAGUGGUGGAGCAUUGGGAGGCUGUG